UACGGCCAUACCAUGUUGAAACAUUGAUUCCCGUGCGAUCACCGAAGUUAAGCAACGUCGAGCUUUGUCAGUACCUAAAUUGGUAACCACUUGGGAAUACCAAGUGCUGUAA
Molecule: non-coding RNA, 112 nt
Organism: Acanthosepion pharaonis
Lineage: Eukaryota; Metazoa; Mollusca; Cephalopoda; Sepiida; Sepiidae
Source: the annotation of a GenBank genome assembly